CCUACGGGGGGCAGCAGUGAGGAAUAUUGGUCAAUGGUCGGGAGACUGAACCAGCCAAGCCGCGUGAGGGAUGAAGGUACAGAGUAUCGUAAACCUCUUUUGUCAGGGAACAAAGGCGGGGACGUGUCCCCGGAUGAGUGUACCUGAAGAAAAAGCAUCGGCUAACUCCGUGCCAGCAGCCGCGGUAAUACGGAGGAUGCGAGCGUUAUCCGGCUUUAUUGGGUUUAAAGGGUGCGCAGGCGGUCUGUUAAGUCAGCGGUCAAAGCCCGGGGCUCAACCCCGGCCCGCCGUUGAAACUGGCAGUCUUGAGUUGGAGAGAAGUAUGCGGAAGGCGCGGUGUAGCGGUGAAAUGCAUAGAUAUCGCGCAGAACUCCGAUUGCGAAGGCAGCAUGCCGGCUCCACACUGACGCUGAGGCACGAAAGCGUGGGUAUCGAACAGGAUUAGAUACCCUAGUAGUC
RNAcentral lists this ribosomal RNA (459 nucleotides) under uncultured bacterium. Its description in RNAcentral is "partial 16S ribosomal RNA". It matches the Rfam family "Bacterial small subunit ribosomal RNA", at positions 338 to 795 of the family's 1533-position model. The record is from RNAcentral.